AGCCGCCUCAGCCAGCAGCUGAUUGCACUUUGCAGCCCGCGUGGCAUUCGCCGCAGGACUUCUGCGGAAUGUUCUCCUGCGCGUCUUUGGGCCACAGACACGUCUGAGGACUGAGGCUCUUUGCGUUGGCAGAUUGUGAGAGGUUCACAUGGCGAUGACCUGUACAGUCCCUCUUUGUGGAUUGAACAGGGAUUUAAGAAUGAAUCACCAUCAACCUUGAGGUAUUGCUCAUAAAGUUGUGAUCUCUCAUCUCUGGAGAGCUUUUGAAAGAAGAGUCCAUGCUGGAUUUGAGAGGAGAAAUAUUCAGUAACAAUUCUCAGCUUCACUGAGAAAAAUUUAAAUGGGUACACAAAAUCAUGAAAAUUCUAAAGACUAAAAGACUGAAUUUGUAGACUUGCAUUAAAACCAACAUGUGUCUUAUUAGAGAGGUACAGAGACGAAUUAGAGAUGACACCUUCCUGUCAUGGUAACAGUUGUCACUUUGUAAUGAGCUAUUGAAAGAUUUACAGCUUUUAGCGCUAUUCAUCCCUCUGUAGACUAAGACUUGUGAACUACUUGUGCUGCAGGUCAGGCAGAUGCGUUGCUCUAGAUGUGAUUCCUGAUGCGGAUGGCAGUUGGCACUGUUCUUCCCAGUCCUGUUAGCAGUUAUUUUCCAGCAGUUUCACUUUUUGGUUUACCCAGUAUUACGUGGGUGCAGAAUUUAGUCUAGAAUGACUUUCAAAUGCUUUCUUAUCAUUGUGUAGAGCCAGGGUUAACAAACCUCACUUCAGAUGUGCGCUGCAACUAGUGUUGUACUGACAAGAGCAGCAAUGAGGCAAGAGCUAAUGGCUCAUACUGGAUGCAUAUAUCAUCACAAAUUGAAAUUCACACUUCUGGAGGAAAAUUCCACACUUCUGGGUACUGCAGAAUUGUUCCUUCAGUGAACAGUAUUCCACUUGUCUAGAAAGUAGCUUUCUAAACCCUCUUGGCUUGCUCCAGACUGUGUGCAACAUGAAAGAUGAAGAGUAAGAUGAGAAUGGCAGGGAUGCUACUGUAGUUUCUGUACUGGCCAUCAAAUCACAAAACGUGAGUAACUGCAAGUAUUUCCAAAUCAAUUUAUGCGUUUGUUUCCAAAGGAGGUCUGUGAUGCUUUCUCAAUGCAAGGUGUUGGGCUCUUGAAAUGAGAGCUGCUGAGUAAUCAAAGGGGAGAUGAUGCAAGACGGCCUUCUCUAAAAACUAGGUAAAAACACUGCUGUCAUGAAAUAGUUUUGGCUGCAUUGCUGUAACGUACAGAU
Long non-coding RNA from Pogoniulus pusillus (Red-fronted tinkerbird), 1274 nucleotides. RefSeq lists it as uncharacterized. The transcript is spliced from 3 exons. The record is from RefSeq and is a predicted model, not a curated record. Lineage: Eukaryota; Metazoa; Chordata; Aves; Piciformes; Lybiidae.